GAUCCUGGCUCAGGAUGAACGCUAGCUACAGGCUUAACACAUGCAAGUCGAGGGGCAGCAUCAUCAAAGCUUGCUUUGAUGGAUGGCGACCGGCGCACGGGUGAGUAACACGUAUCCAACCUGCCGACAACACUGGGAUAGCCUUUCGAAAGAAAGAUUAAUACCGGAUGGCAUAAUUAUUCCGCAUGGGAUAAUUAUUAAAGAAUUUCGGUUGUCGUGGAGNGCGUCUACUAGU
RNAcentral lists this ribosomal RNA (235 nucleotides) under uncultured bacterium. RNAcentral's name for it is "partial 16S ribosomal RNA". It matches the Rfam family "Bacterial small subunit ribosomal RNA", at positions 15 to 245 of the family's 1533-position model. The record is from RNAcentral.